This 200-nucleotide ribosomal RNA is filed under the name uncultured bacterium. RNAcentral's name for it is "partial 16S ribosomal RNA". It matches the Rfam family "Bacterial small subunit ribosomal RNA", at positions 8 to 216 of the family's 1533-position model. The record is from RNAcentral.
AGAGUUUGAUCAUGGCUCAGAGCGAACGCUGGCGGCGUGCCUAAUACAUGCAAGUCGAGCGGGACUCUUCGGAGUCUAGCGGCGGACGGGUGAGUAACACGUGGGCAACCUGCCUGUAAGACUGGGAUAACUUCGGGAAACCGGAGAUAAUACCAGAUAAUCCUUUUCCUCUCAUGAGGGAGAGCUGAAAGACGGUUUCG